UACGAAGGGGGCUAGCGUUGCUCGGAAUUACUGGGCGUAAAGCGCACGUAGGCGGCUCUUUAAGUCGGGGGUGAAAUCCUGGAGCUCAACUCCAGAACUGCCUUCGAUACUGAAGAGCUUGAGUCCGGGAGAGGUGAGUGGAACUGCGAGUGUAGAGGUGAAAUUCGUAGAUAUUCGCAAGAACACCAGUGGCGAAGGCGGCUCACUGGCCCGGUACUGACGCUGAGGUGCGAAAGCGUGGGGAGCAAACAGG
RNAcentral lists this ribosomal RNA (253 nucleotides) under uncultured bacterium. RNAcentral's name for it is "partial 16S ribosomal RNA". It matches the Rfam family "Bacterial small subunit ribosomal RNA", at positions 524 to 776 of the family's 1533-position model. The record is from RNAcentral.